This 229-nucleotide ribosomal RNA is filed under the name uncultured bacterium. Its description in RNAcentral is "partial 16S ribosomal RNA". It matches the Rfam family "Bacterial small subunit ribosomal RNA", at positions 568 to 796 of the family's 1533-position model. The record is from RNAcentral.
UGCGUAGGCGGUAACCUAAGUCAGAUGUGAAAACCAGAGGCUCAACUUCUGGACUGCAUUUGAAACUGGGCUACUAGAGUGCAGGAGAGGAAAGUUGAAUUCCUAGUGUAGCGGUGAAAUGCGUAGAUAUUAGGAGGAACACCAGUGGCGAAGGCGGCUUUCUGGACUGUAACUGACGCUGAGGCACGAAAGCGUGGGGAGCGAACAGGAUUAGAUACCCUGGUAGUCC